Oncorhynchus nerka (sockeye salmon) is the source of this 1181-nucleotide long non-coding RNA. RefSeq lists it as uncharacterized. Lineage: Eukaryota; Metazoa; Chordata; Actinopteri; Salmoniformes; Salmonidae. The transcript is spliced from 3 exons. The record is from RefSeq and is a predicted model, not a curated record.
CUACCUAAAAGUAGUUCUGGAGAACAAAGACUUUUGAUGCCCUCUCUCUCUCCAAGGGGGAAAGUUUAGAGACACAUAUUUUAAAACACAUCUAUAAAAAUUAAAAAAAGAUUUUAUUGAAAUGUUACUCAUAGUGUGUUGUUGAUACUUCAUUCUCUAUUUGACUCAUACCCACCAAAGUUCUAUAUCGUAGUCUAAGGGGGGUCUGGUUGAACGCUGUGGAAGCUUGGAGCUGGAGUCAUACCAACAUUCUACUGGUCGAGGAUAUCCUGUAAGGACUCAAGUAUCUCAAUGUUUGGAGGAGGUGGAAUUGGAUGGAAGUGUCUGACGUGAAACAGUGAUCAGUUGUCUUCACACAACGUCUACUAGGAGUUCCUUACUACUGAAUUAUCUGAAGAAGAAAAACAUUCUGGGUGAUUUUGGAACAUUGCAACUGCAAAGCUUCACAGGACUUUAGUUGUACUCAAGUGGAUGAGGCAGUUCUACUGAUUUAGUUGUACUCAAGUGGAUGAGGCAGUUCUACUGAUUUAGUUGUACUCAAGUGGAUGAGGCAGUUCUACUGAUUUAGUUGUACUCAAGUGGAUGAGGCAGUUCUACUGAUUUAGUUGUACUCAAGUGGAUGAGGCAGUUCUACUGAUUUAGUUGUACUCAAGUGGAUGAGGCAGUUCUACUGAUUUAGUUGUACUCAAGUGGAUGAGGCAGUUCUUCUGAUUGCCGUAUAUCUUUUUGUGGAGUAUGGUUUUGGAUUAUGCUCUUUUGGAUUUAAAUUUUUGGGGACGUGAAUAAUGUAUAAAUCAACAAUCGAAAUGCUGAAAUGUAACGUGUUUUUUUUAGCACUUUGUGUGGCAUCAGGGAUUCUCUUGUGUGUAUCUGCCGUCGCCGAGGACCAGACAUGCAGCAUAAACGUAACCGAGGCCGACAGCAGUCUGGAAUCUAUAACGUUGAGACUGACCACGGAGGGACAGCAGUGUAACUUCACUGUGUUGUCUAUGGACAGUAGCUCUGUAGUAACACACUGUGUGGAGGAUCUGAAGGACAACAAUACGUUUCAAUGCCAGGUAGUGAGUUUAGAACCUGGAACAUCAUACACCCUGCAAAUCAUGUCCACCACAGAUGAACAACGGGCCAAUGUCACCCUGCAGACCAGUCCAUCGACAGUCAGUGGCCUACAGGUGUCUGGG